Cavia porcellus (domestic guinea pig) is the source of this 4726-nucleotide long non-coding RNA. RefSeq lists it as uncharacterized. The transcript is spliced from 3 exons. NCBI's taxonomy places the organism in Eukaryota, Metazoa, Chordata, Mammalia, Rodentia, Caviidae. The record is from RefSeq and is a predicted model, not a curated record.
UUCCUAGGAGAGAAAAAUCAUUUUGGCUUUGUGAAUUUAAAGGGGUUAAAAGCUAAACUUGAUCAUCAUUGUCAAUAAAAUGACUGAUGGCCAAAUGAGAUAGCUAUGUAAAAGAGAAAAGGAUACUACUGUAACCUAAGCAGGGUGACAAAACCCCAUUAAUAUACAAAUAGGCUUUAAAGCCAAAGGUUACACAGUGCAUAUAUAAUUGGAUUUAGACAAUCCCAUUUAAAAAGGGAUGAAGUGUAACCUAAAAGAAAAACUUAAGAAUACAUACUUUCUAGGAAAAGAACCAGGUUGCAAAAAACUGAAAAUUAAAUGUUCAGUUAAAUUUACCUGAGGGCUCAUAAAAUUCCUGUUCACAAUGGUAGGCAAGAGCCUAACUACAAGAAAGGGAAGAAGGCAGGCCUUCCUCAUGCACACUCUAGCCAGUAGGUUGACAUGAGUCCCUUGCUCUACCCUGAAUUUAUGCCAAAUACAUAAUCUAAGAUGCAGUAGACGGCUGGAAGGUGGAAAAUUCUACUCACCCUUUUUGAGAAUGGUUUAGGGAGGAAGAAAUGACAUGCUGAAGAGAUAAAUCUAACCUAUAAUAUGAAUGGUUUGUAUUAAAUGGUUUAAAGUUUGUAUUAAAUGGUUUAAAGUUAAAGACAGACUGUUGAACUGAGUAAAAACUGAAAUUUGUCUGCAUUUUGGGGGUUUUAUAAAGGAUAUGCAAAGUGUUUUUAAGGAAUCUGUUGUUUUCAUUAUCAUAAAGUUUUAGCAAGUUUAACAUUUAGAAGAACUCAGUUUGCUAAGUUUACGUCUAAUAAAUUUGACUUAUUAGAUUUAUAAAAUUUACCUAGUUGUUUGAUAGUUGUUUUAGAUCUAAAAUGUGCCCCCAAAAGUCUCGUGUUCAGAGGUGAGGCUUUUACAAAGUGAUUUCAUAGUGGGGGUGUUACAUCCAUGCGUGGCCUAGUCCAAUGGUAAGUUUAUAAAUGACUGCUGUUCAGAGGUGGGGGUCUUGGGGGGCAUAACCCACAAGGGUGAUUUCUUGUUCUAGCUCUUCCUCUUGCUGCUGAAGCUGCCAUGAAGUGAACAUCAUUACUCUGCUUUGCCUUUCCACCACACUGUUCUGGCAUGGACUCAAUUCACUGAAAACGCACUCCAUAAGAAAACAAGAUCUUCAGAGUUUUGUUUUUUUCAACUAUGCAUGUGUCAGUGUGAAAAUAUAACAGUUUUUACCCACAAACUGGGAAAAGAUUUUAGUGAACUCUCUCUCAGACAAGGGCCUCUUGUCUAAAACAUACAAAGAAUUAAAGAAACUCAGACCUCCGAAAUUCAAAGAUCCAAUCCAAAAAUGGGCAUCUGAGAUGAAUAUGCAAUUCUCAGAUGAAGAAAUGCAAAUGGCAAAUAAAUACAUGAAAAAAUGCUCAUCAUCAUUGGUCAUUAGAGAAAUGCAAAUUAAAACCACACUGAGAUACCAUCUCACUCCUGAAAGAAUGGCCAGGAUCAAGAAAACCGACAACAAAUGCUGGAGAGGCUGUGGGGAAAAAGGAACUCUCCUGCACUGCUGGUGGGAGUGUAGACUGGUACAGCCUUUGUGGAGAUCUGUCUGGAGCUUUCUCAAAAAGUUGGGACUGGAAAUCCCAUUUAUUCCAGCUAUUCCACUUCUAGGCAUAUUCCCAGAAGAACUGAAAGCAUCAUACCACAUAUGUGCACCUAUGUUUAUAGCAGCACAAUUUGUAAUCGCCAGAUCUUGGAAACAACCCAAGUGCCCAUCAACUGAGGAAUGGAUAAAAAAGUUGUGGUAUUUCUAUACAAUGGAGUAUUAUUCAGCUAUAAAGAAGGAUCACAUUGAGAUAUUUAUCAAUAAAUGGGCACAGCUUGAGACCAUACUCAUAAGUGAAAUAAAUCAAUCUCGCAUGUGUGAAUACCGAAUAGUUUCCCUAAUGGAUUGGAUUCAUAUGACCUUGCACUUGCCAGACAGGUGCUUACUCCUCUGAGCUAAAUCCUGAUCCCAGGAGCUAAUUAAUUUUUGAUAUACCCAUAAUACUACUUCAGAACCAACUUUAUGACUGAUGAAAUUGUUAAAUGAAGGAUACCCAAAUUAAAAGAAGAAAGAAGUACAAAAUAAUGUGAAUAAUGUUAGUAUUUGUCUACAAAGUAUCUCUGGAUGGAAACUCAAGAAAAUAAUUAAACUAGGGGGCAGCCAGAUAUAGAAGGUGAGGGUAUCUCAAUAUAUAUUAAUCAUACUUUAAAAAUUUCAAACCAUUAAUAUAUAUAGUCUACAUAAAAUUUUAAUCAAAAGAGAAGUUAUAGUUGGCUUUGUUAGGUUUGGCUAAAAGGAGGCAAAACUGAAAAACUAGAAGUCAGGAGGCAGAGAGAAAUACAGGUUACUGUCCUUUGCUCUCGGUUUAAGGAUCCCCUAUAACAGUUAUAUCUCUUCAGAAAUUCCCUUUCACAUUAUCAGUGCUGCUUCCCCUCAUCAGCUAUCACCGGUCUCUGGGCUCUAAUAAUUCCCCUGCUUUGUCUUCCUUUUCCAGAGCUAAUAACUUGCUAUAGUUGUUUGUAUCUUGGAUCAUUACCCUCUGUUUCUAGAUCUUUAGUAAUCUUUUAAUAAUCUUUAAUAAUCUUUGAAAGUGGUCCUAAAAUAAAAUUCCCUCUAAUAAAUUAUCUAGCAUGGCUUACAUUUUCCUAAUUAGAUCUUAUCAAAAAGAAAAAAAGUGACUGUAUUAAAGGUUAUUUCUAUAGAACACGAAGGAUCCAAUUCCUAAAAUUAGAAAGGAUAAUUUUUCAGUGUCAAGGUUUAAGAACACUGUGGCCUAUACACUUCAACAAACUAAGUUUCAAACAUAUGUAUGUGUGUGUGUGUCUCAUUUGUUCAUUUUUCUUUCUUCAUGUCACACUGGAAACUGACAGUAUGUCAUGGUCUACUUCUAUGAAUUAAAAAUGUUAGUGGAAAAGAAGCAGAAAUUAAAAGGAUCAGAUAUAUAGUUUCGGUGAGCUGACAAUACAGAAUAAGUCAUUCAAAUAUCAGAAAAAUUCAAAUAUGAAUUUAUACUAUGAUCAAUACUUUGUCUAAUAAGUUGAUCAUUCUAGUAUAGAGUUUACUACUUUUUCAAUUCAAUUUUUGUGCAUUCAUGCUGACCAAGAAAAUUACCAAACUUUCUUUAGUUAUAUUAAAAAAAUGAAUAUUAUUUUUUAGGUAAAUAUAUCCCUCUGAAUUCUGACAUAUACUAAUGUGGCUGAAAACUUGAGUAUAUCUCAUUAUUAUAUCACUUUCCAUCCUCACCAAAACAAAAGUAUCAAUGGACUAUUCCUCUUUUUGCCCAUAAAACUACUUUAUCAAAUUAACACAAGAUACAAUAAAUACCAGAAGUACAGAGAUAAAGAUGCUAUCAUAACUUACACUACAUGAAAUUGUUUCUAACUACAUGAAUUAUUUCCUACUAAAACCAACAUAAACAAAAAGUAGACAGGUUUGUCUAAUACUAACUUUAUUGGGCUGGGGAAGUAGCUCAGUGGUAAAACACUUGCCCUAAUAUUGACAUUAGCUACAACAAAUUAUGGAAACAAAACAUUCUAAUAUAAUGGUAAAGAACAAAACAGUGUUGAUGAGAUUUAGCAAGACAAUGGAAUUACGGCAAACAAUUACCCCCAAAAAGAACAUCUCUCUCUUUGCAAAGAGAGAAGAUAAAAAGAUACAAGAGUAGGCUGUAUUUCUUUCUAAAAUGAGUUAAGGCCACCUGCUAUGAAUGACUAGUAAAGAUAAUGGAUUUGAAACUAGAAAAGAUAUUAAGGGCUGGUCAACAGAGUCAAAAAAAAAAAAAAAAAAAAAAAAAACCACAGUAAGAAUGCCAUAUAUAGUAUUGUGGAGAUAGGACAUACUGAUGUGGACUCCCCUCAGUUUACCCGUAAGCCAUUCUUCCUUUGACUUCUAGCCUGUUUCCUACACUGGUUCAAGCCCAGAUAUAUAAAUGCAACCAAAUAAAAUUUGGUUGUAAGAGCAGAAAAUGAAGUUAGGCACAAAUGCUUUGUUUGUAAUACAGUACAAACAAUAUAAUCAGAAACAAUUAGUAUCUACCAUUACAUACACAUUUUGGCAAAGGCCAAAAGUAUCUAGCCACUCUAAAUAAGAGACUAAUUAUAUCUACUUAGCUCCAUGAAAAAGAAGUCUUUGAUCUUCUAAACAACUUGACAUUUUAAGAUAAACAACUUUUAGUCUUUGCUACUGCAUAUACAAAUGCUCCUAGCUGAACUAGUUCAUUCCUCCAGAGAUACUUUGAACUUAAAGCUGUCAGGCGAACACCUCUGCCCAGAAUUGUGAAAUCUAUAACUAUUUACUUUCAUUAAGACAAAAAUGUCUGGGACAGCAGCAUUGAAAUUUGCUUAUAUUUUACAUAAAAUUGGUAUAUUCUGUUUUUUCUGCUCAAAGGUUCCACGCAGUUUCAAAAUACAGUAUUUAGCUUUAUUUUUAGGGUGAAACUUAGAAAUCAGAAUUUAUACAAUCUAAAAACAAAAAAAAAAAAAAAAAUCAAAACUUAGAUUGGCAAACAUCUCCCCGCUUCCAAAUCAUCAGUUAAAGAAUGAAUUAAAUUUCAUUUUUAAUUCAAAUACCUACCUAAAUACAGAGAAAAAUUUCAUUUCUUUAGAAAAUACAGCUUACAAAGACAGUCAUCCCACUUUAAGUUAGAUAAUAUUAUAAUUAACUUAUUUAAGACAGUUGUCUCCAUGACUUAAUUUUCAA